RNAcentral lists this ribosomal RNA (496 nucleotides) under uncultured bacterium. RNAcentral describes it as "partial 16S ribosomal RNA". It matches the Rfam family "Bacterial small subunit ribosomal RNA", at positions 29 to 507 of the family's 1533-position model. The record is from RNAcentral.
ACGAACGCUGGCGGCGUGCCUAAUACAUGCAAGUUGAGCGCUGAAGGUUGGUACUUGUACCAACUGGAUGAGCAGCGAACGGGUGAGUAACGCGUGGGGAAUCUGCCUUUGAGCGGGGGACAACAUUUGGAAACGAAUGCUAAUACCGCAUAAAAACUUUAAACACAAGUUUUAAGUUUGAAAGAUGCAAUUGCAUCACUCAAAGAUGAUCCCGCGUUGUAUUAGCUAGUUGGUGAGGUAAAGGCUCACCAAGGCGAUGAUACAUAGCCGACCUGAGAGGGUGAUCGGCCACAUUGGGACUGAGACACGGCCCAAACUCCUACGGGAGGCAGCAGUAGUGAAUCUUCGGCAAUGGACGAAAGUCUGACCGAGCAACGCCGCGUGAGUGAAGAAGGUUUUCGGAUCGUAAAACUCUGUUGGUAGAGAAGAACGUUGGUGAGAGUGGAAAGCUCAUCAAGUGACGGUAACUACCCAGAAAGGGACGGCUAACUACGUG